Capra hircus (goat) is the source of this 1630-nucleotide long non-coding RNA. Lineage: Eukaryota; Metazoa; Chordata; Mammalia; Artiodactyla; Bovidae. The record is from Ensembl.
AGUCAUUCUGGUUCCCCCUCUUUUCAUUGACUUCCAAUCCACGUUCAGUUCAUUUGGCUGCUUGAAAACUCUUUGUCUCUCAACUUUUUCCAGAAACAGGUAUCCACUAGCUACUACUUCCCCAAGAAAAGAAAUCAUUGUUCAAUUAUUUUUUUAAAAAAUCUCACAGGACACGUAAUGUCUGCAUUGUCAAGCUCUGUUGGAAUGGCUUCCUUGAUUAACUUAAGAGUGAACAAACACUGGACAUUCAUUGAGAACACCACACAUCCUCGGCUUAUAGAGAAUGGACACUGCAGCACUCUUCCCAGACCUGGAAUACUCAUGUAUUUCUAAAUGCCUGAAGGGAAUGUCUUCUGAAUCUUCUUGGAGAACCUGGUUAGAGAUGAAGAAACCAGAAUAUGAGUUGGCAUCUUCAAGCUCUCAAGUUGAACUUGAUUCGGCAUUUCAAGUCCUCAAUGCUCUUAAAUAUACUCCAAUUUUUCUGCUACAAAUUAAGGUGAUAAUAGACACUGAACUUUUAUAUGGCACAGAUCCCCCAAGUAAUAGGAGCUGAAGACACAAGGAUCUACACAUUUCUAAAGCCCCCAAUUCACUGCAAAUUCACAACAAAUCUUACCAAGGCAUAUCUAAUAACAGAGCUACAGUUCCUGAACCACUGUUCACAAACAAUACAAAAGAUCAGUUGCAAGGAAAUAUUCUAUUUUAAUGGAGGCUGAUUCUUACAUCCAAUCAUAGCUCUUCAGGUAUUUGGUUUACUGGAGUAUGGCACUGAUAGAAUGACAAAAUAUUAAAGAGUUAGGUAAAUAAUGUCAAAGUGCUCCUGCCCAGUCUGGGGCCUCAACUUUUUCUGUGAAAUUGUUGAAUUUUUGAUAUUUUUUUGAUAUCUGAAUCUCUUUUUGGACCAUCCCAAAUUUAGCAGUAAUUUCAAGGUGGCUUCCUGGCAUGUGUUCUAGAUUGGUCUCCACAUUAAACUGAUAAAUCAAGAGAUUUAUUUCCUCAAUAGGUCAAAAUCAUUAUUACUAUCCUCUUGCCAUUCUGAGGAAAAGAACUUUAUCCUUCUAUGUGAUUUAUUCUUUUCAUGGGCAUCCAUUCAACACUGAGCUAUUGUUUCAGAACAGGGAAAAUGUAUUCCUUUUACAGGUUUAUUCCUUCAACUGGAAUUUGUUUAAGUAGUUUCCACUGCACAAACACAAAAAGCCUUAAUACAUGCAGACUGGGUCGGCCUCAUGCCAUCAGAUGUCACCGCUGACGGGUGAUGGCACUUAUAUAGAUUUACACAACAAAAACUACAUUAAAAAUGUUAAGGUAGUGAGACAAAGACACAAAGGCCUAGAAAUUCACAGCUCGGGAUUUAAACAUACUAUAUCUAAGAGGAAUGGAGUGCAUUAGGGUAAUGGGAAGGUGACAGCGUCCCUAUUAUACCUACAGUGCUAGACACUUAAUCCCUAACUGAAUUUCCUGGUGUUGUUUGCUUUGUCUCAUUCUUGGGGGCUUAUGUUUUUUAAUGACAUUAUUGUUGUGUAAAUGUUCUUGUUUUAUAAAGUAAUUUCAGGUUGAUUAUCAUCUGUUUUGCAAUUAUUAUAAUUAUACCUAAUUACAUGGUAGAAACAACAUAUAUAAUUAGUUUAUU